This 427-nucleotide ribosomal RNA is filed under the name uncultured bacterium. RNAcentral describes it as "partial 16S ribosomal RNA". It matches the Rfam family "Bacterial small subunit ribosomal RNA", at positions 355 to 774 of the family's 1533-position model. The record is from RNAcentral.
UGGGGAAUAUUGCACAAUGGGCGCAAGCCUGAUGCAGCCAUGCCGCGUGUAUGAAGAAGGCCUUCGGGUUGUAAAGUACUUUCAGCGGGGAGGAAGGCGAUAAGGUUAAUAACCUUUUCUAUUGACGUUACCCGCAGAAGAAGCACCGGUUAACUCCGUGCCAGCAGCCGCGGUAAUACGGAGGGUGCAAGCGUUAAUCGGAAUUACUGGGCGUAAAGCGCACGCAGGCGGUCUGUCAAGUCGGAUGUGAAAUCCCCGGGCUCAACCUGGGAACUGCAUUCGAAACUGGCAGGCUAGAGUCUUGUAGAGGGGGGUAGAAUUCCAGGUGUAGCGGUGAAAUGCGUAGAGAUCUGGAGGAAUACCGGUGGCGAAGGCGGCCCCCUGGACAAAGACUGACGCUCAGGUGCGAAAGCGUGGGGAGCAAACA